GUGGUUUGAUUCUUACUAGCCUUGAGGUGACAGAGACGAUGCAGGUGGGGAGCAGGUGCUGAUAAGCACUAUCAUUUUCACAUCAUGAAAGCCUUUCUGGAUGAUGGAGAUCUGAGGAUACCUUUUCCAUAUUUGUACCGUACCUGUUGUCACGAUGUCUCAUGACCAGAAAUAAAAUAUGAGAUAGGUUUAGCUAGUAAUGAUCAGAGGGCAUAUUGUCUCUAGGACAUUUCCUUGGUGUGAUUUGAUAAGUACAUCAUCUUUACUGGAAAAUGUUCCCCUAUGAUAGUGCUCAUGAAUACUUAGUCUGCUGCAGCUGUGAGACUCUGGAGGAGAUUAGCUCAAGGGUGGGAAGCUGAGGUACAGCAUGCUUUUUCAUAUCUUGAAAUAGGUUGCCCAUCGAUGGAGGUAAGUUCUGUCCAAAGGUCAGAGCUUCUGUGUGGUUUCAGGGGCUGGUCCUGUCAAUGUGAGUAGUUAGAAAGAGUAUGUGCUACUUUUUGUUAAUGGAACAGUUGAAGUCAUUCAGUUUUGCUCAGUGUUCUGUUGCAAUAUUCUGGGGGAAAAAAAAAUAUUUUUUGGAACAAAAACUGCCUUCCUAUUGAAAUAAAGGUCAAGUACAAUUUUGCUGCUACUCUGGCUAACAGGGCUGUUAUGACUGAUUGCAUUCAGCUUUUUAUAGUAUUAGAAGUACUGACUACAAUCCAAAACAACAACAGAAAGAGAGCAACAAAGAUGCAGCACCAGAAGAGAGGAAGCUUCAGAGUGUGAGAGUAAGUAAUCCACCCCCAGUUUUGUUGCCUGUUGCAGGAAUGCCAUCUUACUGCUUGAGAGAGAGGGAUUUGUCACAGCCCUGCUCUCAAACCAGGAAUAUGCAGGAGGCAGCCACUUGUACUGUGAGUCUGAAACACACCUGUGAAAGCUGUGCUUUUCUGCUGCAUUUCAGAUAAUGGUCAGUGAUCCUGAAAGAAAAUAUAUUCAGGGGAAAAAGAGCAAGAGACAAUAAAAGCCGUAUGUCAGGAAUGUGGAUUUUUAUU
RNAcentral lists this long non-coding RNA (1034 nucleotides) under Anser brachyrhynchus (Pink-footed goose). RNAcentral's name for it is "lncRNA (ENSABRG00000022112.1)". Lineage: Eukaryota; Metazoa; Chordata; Aves; Anseriformes; Anatidae. The record is from RNAcentral.